RNAcentral lists this ribosomal RNA (164 nucleotides) under uncultured bacterium. RNAcentral describes it as "partial 16S rRNA". It matches the Rfam family "Bacterial small subunit ribosomal RNA", at positions 355 to 511 of the family's 1533-position model. The record is from RNAcentral.
UAGGGAAUCUUCGGCAAUGGACGAAAGUCUGACCGAGCAACGCCGCGUGAGUGAAGAAGGUUUUCGGAUCGUAAAACUCUGUUGUUAGAGAAGAACAAGGAUGAGAGUAACUGUUCAUCCCUUGACGGUAUCUAACCAGAAAGCCACGGCUAACUACGUGCCUG